GCCAGUAUAGCUCAGCUGGUAGAGCGCCCGCCUUGUAAGCGGAUGGUCAUCGGUUCAAAUCCGAUUACUGGCUCCA
RNAcentral lists this transfer RNA (76 nucleotides) under Candidatus Altimarinota bacterium. RNAcentral describes it as "tRNA-Thr". It matches the Rfam family "tRNA". From Rfam's summary of the family: Transfer RNA (tRNA) molecules are approximately 80 nucleotides in length. Their secondary structure includes four short double-helical elements and three loops (D, anti-codon, and T loops). Further hydrogen bonds mediate the characteristic L-shaped molecular structure. tRNAs have two regions of fundamental functional importance: the anti-codon, which is responsible for specific mRNA codon recognition, and the 3' end, to which the tRNAs corresponding amino acid is attached (by aminoacyl-tRNA synthetases). tRNAs cope with the degeneracy of the genetic code in two manners: having more than one tRNA (with a specific anti-codon) for a particular amino acid; and 'wobble' base-pairing, i.e. permitting non-standard base-pairing at the 3rd anti-codon position. Lineage: Bacteria; Candidatus Altimarinota. The record is from RNAcentral.